This is a long non-coding RNA of Humulus lupulus (European hop), 442 nucleotides long. RefSeq lists it as uncharacterized. The record is from RefSeq and is a predicted model, not a curated record. NCBI's taxonomy places the organism in Eukaryota, Viridiplantae, Streptophyta, Magnoliopsida, Rosales, Cannabaceae. The transcript is spliced from 2 exons.
GCUACUAAGAUUAUUCAAGUUACUUGGAAUUUUCUAAAAGUAAAUUAUGUCUUUGAAUUCUGUCGUUCAUAUUUGGAAUUUUUUAUCUGAUAAUGAAGAUUUCUGGGGCUGCAGUUAAGUUGCCAGAGUUAUUGGCUUAUGUAAACAUCGAGGAGGAAACACUGACCCGCUUGCAACAGAAACUGCUUGAUUUUCUUAAGUUUUUGCAGAAAAAUCAGAGUACAUUCUUCCUUUCAACCUACGAUAGCACGAAAGGUGUCGAAGGAAAGGGCAAGGGGAAAGAUGACUGAACAUCUAUCCCUAAAACUAAUCUGCCAUCAUCAGAUAUCGAAGUCCGGUGGCAAGUUCGAUGACCAUCUUAAUCCUUUUUGUUUUUGACUUAUGAACUCAAAAUCCAGGUAGAUAUAUCUUCCAAUUGUUGUACUAGUAGCAUUAGUUCAUU